UGCCCUACUAUUCGCAUCUCAUC
This 23-nucleotide microRNA is filed under the name Caenorhabditis briggsae. RNAcentral describes it as "Cbr-Bantam-P1a_5p* (star (passenger))". The record is from RNAcentral. Lineage: Eukaryota; Metazoa; Nematoda; Chromadorea; Rhabditida; Rhabditidae. RNAcentral also lists the same sequence under 1 other name.